UGUGUCAAUCACCUCUGAUGAAGAUCUCGUCAAUCUCAUUGAAGAAUAUGAUCGUGCUGCGGCUGCAUCACCAUCGUCCUCCCUCAAGAUCAGAGCUUUUCUUUCACCACCCAAAUCCACAAAAAAAGUUGUCUCUUCUCCUUCUUCCACUGCUUCUUCAUCAUCUACAACCACCAACACUACUUCUAGUAAUUGUGAUGCGAACUCGCCUAAGUCAUUUUGUACCACAGCUGCAGCUAGUCCUCCAACUACUGUAACUUCAUCAUGGUAUCGUGGUCAAGUUAAUUAUAAUGAGAUGUGUGUCCGUCAGACGAUGGCAAAGCCGCAGAUGGUUGUUCCUCUCUGUUAUCAGAAAGCUGCAGGAAAGCUCCCUCAGCAUACCUACCAUGGUCUUGGGAAUACUAGUAGCCAUAUUUAUCUGAUUCACCAUGGCAACCAUCGGCAAUAAUAGCAGCUAUUCUGUUCACAAGGAGGACAAAAUGAACUUGGAAUAUAUAUACCUAAAAUUGGUAUUACCUAAUGAAAGAAAAAACCCAACAAGCAAAAAAGAAACUAGAGGAGUAUAUAUGUAUAUAUAUAUAUAUAUAUAGAUUUAUGUAUUGUACGAACUAAGAAGGGCGUGUAGAUCAUUAAUAGGAUUGGUGUAUUUUCAUUGUCAAUCCGUCCUUGGCUUAUUAAUCAAAAUAGGUUUCCAAUCGGAUGGAAAUGUGUCCAAUUUCGUCUAAUUCUGAUGGUGAGUUCUUUAAAUUGUCUUUAGAUCUCCUUUGAUUUAGAAAUGGAGGACGGUCUGGAGUCUGGACACUCUAUAUCACCUGUUUGUGUUAUGUGUGCCUUCGUUAAAACUCUUCAUCUUCUCGGCAUUUUCCAUCGCAUAAGCCUACGAUCUAUUUAUCUUGUCUAAUUAUCUCUACUGCCACGCUAAUCAUUAUACUUCCUCUUCUGAAACUAUCCAUUCCUUGAUUUCCCUCUGGCAAGUGGGGUUCAGCCCCUUAAUUCAAGGAAGUUGUUUUCUUCCUUUCUUCUUCAUUUUCAAAGUUAGCAGAAGCAGGCAGCCCACGUUUCUCAUUUUUCUGUUAAAAAUGACAGGCUGUAGAAGUUGAAAGGUCAAGAUUGGUAGGCAUAUUUUUGCCU
Molecule: long non-coding RNA, 1131 nt
Filed under: Nicotiana tabacum (common tobacco)
Lineage: Eukaryota; Viridiplantae; Streptophyta; Magnoliopsida; Solanales; Solanaceae
Description: long non-coding RNA (NTAB_LNC003018)
Source: RNAcentral